GGGAAUGUAGCUCAGUGGUAGAGUGUUUGCCUAGAACACAUGAGGGCCUGGGUUCAAUUUCCAGCACUGCAA
This 72-nucleotide transfer RNA is filed under the name Heterocephalus glaber (naked mole-rat). It matches the Rfam family "tRNA". From Rfam's summary of the family: Transfer RNA (tRNA) molecules are approximately 80 nucleotides in length. Their secondary structure includes four short double-helical elements and three loops (D, anti-codon, and T loops). Lineage: Eukaryota; Metazoa; Chordata; Mammalia; Rodentia; Bathyergidae. The record is from Rfam by way of RNAcentral.